GGGACUAUUUAAAACAAAAUUACGAAAAAGCGAAAACCCUCCUCCCCCUCCCUCGCUUCCUCCAUUUUCGGACACCGACUCCGAUCGAACGAACCACUCAUCGGCCUCCGCCCCCCAUUUUUUAAUUCCGAUCGUCGCUUCGGAUUUCGAUUCGGCCUCUCUCUCUAGAAAGAGCAGCGACGAACUCAUCGAUCGACCGAUCCCGCCGAUCUCCGCAGUGAGCAGGUCUUCGGCACCGAUCGCCAUGGCGAGGCCCUCGAAGCAGCAGGCGUCGUCCGACGAUGCCCUGUCGGACGGGUCCGAGGAGGAGGAGCAGCCGCAGCUCGACGAGCCCGUCAACGAGGAGGACGAGGAGGAGCUCGACGCCGUCGCCCGCUCCGCCAGCUCCGCUGACGACGACGACGCCGCCCCUUCCGCCGACGACGACGCCGACGAGAAUGGCGAGGCCGAGGAGGAGGACGACGACGAUUAGGUUCGGUUGCCCGGCUGCUCCUGUUUGUUCUUUUACUGGAUUAGUUGGGAAUUUCGGCGCUGGAUCUCUCGUUUGCUUGCUAGGGUUUGCGGGGUCCGGCGCGGUUGUGGGUCUCUCUGGUGUUUUGCGCUAGCAGGUGGAUGUGUGCUUCGUGUUUGAAUGCGAGUUUUUCAAGAAGUUUUAGAAUGAGCGUUGGAUUUAGACCGAGGAUGUUCGGUUAGACGCUCGAGACAAGUUUCUAGUGGUCUCUCGUGAUUCUUUUACUGCAUUCGUUUCUGCAGAUUGGCGCUUGCUGUAUUGAUCCUCCGCUUUGCUAUUGAAUUGCGCAGAAUGAAAAGUAUAUACGUGUACUGCAAGGUUAAAUUAGCACAAGAGUUGAAGCAUUUUCGAGGUGAACUUGUUUCUUGCUCUUCGUUUGGGGUUUAUUAUUUUCUGGCAUACUCUGGGUUGGAUGAAGAAGAGCGGAAGUUGAGAGUGUCUCUCGCUCAUAGUGAAGGCAUGGUGUUCAACCUUCAUGUUGUGCAUGCCAAAAACUAUGCCUUUGAGAGGGAUUUCUGUUUAUUUUAUUUUCUUUCUUUCUUUUUUUCCUGGUUGGUUGGUUGAUUUUGCAUCUCCAUGGCUAGAGUACUCGAGCAGAGCUGCAACUUUUCAUGUUUCUAAUAUUCGAAGCUGAUGACUUGGGUUUUCCCCUUUUAUUUCAACAUUUCCUUGUGAAGUUGUGAUCGAAAGCUUCAUCAAUCACCUCUCACCAUAUACAAAGUGGGAAACGAUGGCGAACAGAGCUUGUCUAUCUUGCUCUGCUUCUGUCUUUAUAUACACAUGACUUCUUAAGUUGGCAAGUGCUUCCGUACGUCUGAAAUGUUGUUAGAUACUUGUAACUAUGACUUAGUGAGUAUGAGAAGUGUUGCCUCUACUUAUUUAUUUUUGCAUUCUUUUUCCUCAUUCAUUGCACAGGAAGAUAAUGGUGAAACAGAAGUUAGCAAGAUGAAAAGGCCAGGAUCCGUGAAAUGCAAAAGUUGAAGAAGCAGAAGAUU
This 1506-nucleotide long non-coding RNA is filed under the name Eucalyptus grandis. Its description in RNAcentral is "long non-coding RNA (EGRA_LNC005173)". Lineage: Eukaryota; Viridiplantae; Streptophyta; Magnoliopsida; Myrtales; Myrtaceae. The record is from RNAcentral.